RNAcentral lists this long non-coding RNA (1647 nucleotides) under Oryctolagus cuniculus (rabbit). RNAcentral's name for it is "lncRNA (ENSOCUG00000038770.1)". Lineage: Eukaryota; Metazoa; Chordata; Mammalia; Lagomorpha; Leporidae. The record is from RNAcentral.
AUGGCAGGGCCUCAGGGCUACGAGUCAAGGACGGCGUCCACAGUGUCCAGGGGGAUGGCGUCCACAGUGUCUGGGGGGGAGCACUCCACAGUGUCCAGGGGGGGCGGCGUCCACAGUGUCUGGGGGGAGCACUCCACAGUGUCCAGGGAGGGGAGCACUCCACAGUGUCCGGGGGGGACAGCAUCCACAGUGUCCAGGGGGACGGCGUCCACAGUGUCCAGCCCUGGAGCUCACCGCAGCCCCACGUGCAGCAGGUGCCCGUGGGGGUGUCGCCCGGCCCCGCUGACCCCGCUCACCGCACGGCUGCCCCGCGCCCUCAUGGAUCUCACUGCCCGGGAGCGGAUCUGGUGUCAGGAGCUCCGCCUGUCCGUCUUGGGGGGCACCGCAGUGACUAAUCCUGCGCCCAGGGAGGACCCUCCCGGAUUGGCCCACCUCCUGCCUGCCGGGAACUGGCUGUGGUCAGAGGCAGGAAGUAAUUGGAUAGUGGUCCUGUGGCCCGGCCCGGCCCCGCCCCACAGCCCCCCUCCCGGUUACACAAGCGACCGCCUCACUCCUUGGCAGCAACUCUGGCUCUGCCCGGACGGCUCCUUGACCCCUCACUUCCCCGGGACUUGGGGUGGGCGUGGGCCCCCCUCACCCCGCUGUGGCUCGGGGCCAGGACUGGCCUGGAGCCCACAGCUCCUGCCCCACAGCUCCCGUGGCCUGCUGGGUUCUGGCCUCUGUGGCUCGGCCCGUCUGAUGGUGCAGGGGUGUCCACCUUCAUGCCUGGGGGUGCCUACUGGGGACGGCUCCUGCCCGUGAGGAGGAGGACAGACUGGACCGAGACGCAGGGCUGGGGAGGCUGUGAGGUCCCCAGCCCUCUCCUGACACGGGCAGAGCCACACUGGUGCCUGGUGUGGGACUCAUGGGCAGGGACGCCCGGCCGAUUCCAGGGAACUGGGAGACGGGGUGAGGUCAGCCCCUCGAGGGCGGGGGCAGAGGGCAGCCGGAGGGGCCGAGCCUCAGCCUGCGCACAGCUCCCACCGGGCACUGGACACGCGGUCCCUGCCUCCAGUGGCCAGCACGAAGUGGAGGAAUACUGAGCCUGCCUUGGGCCGGUCCCUAGCAAGGUGCUGGACACGAGGGGACAAAAACCUGCAGGGGACACACGGAAAACCCAGCUGAGCAGCGGGGAGCCUCUGGCAUGUGUAGCCGGCUGGGCAGAGGGUGCCCAGGUCCCAGGUUGCAGGGGGACGCAGAGGACCGGGGAGAGCCACGGGGCGCUGCGCACGCCGCCAGGCCACACGGACGGAACCGCCGGGGCUGCAGCUGCCGGCGUCUUUGCAGGAAGCUGGCCAAGGGGCAGACAAAGGUGCUCAAAUAUCCGGGUGAUUCGGACAGCAGGGAGGGGCUGCCUGCAAGCUGGGGGUGGGGGCGGCUGCCCAGGGGCUGCACCCAGGCCAGGAGCCCACUGGGGGCGUUGGGAGACCCCAGCCCCAAGCCCAGCCGUGGGAGCUCAGCUUGGGCGGAUGGCGUUCCCCCUGCAGGGAAGGGGACACGGCGGUCACCCAGGGCGGCUGAGUAAGGGGCCCCAAGAUGGAGCUUCCGGCUGCCAUGGAGGAUGGGGCCCAGGCUGACCCCAGAUGCGACGACAGCAGCAGGGGCCAG